GUAAGGAGUGGGCAACCACCAUCUCCAAGUUGGAUGCACCGGUGCCGCCCCGACACAUAACCAGGCAGGUUGCCGACCAAAUCACCGGGUCCCCCGACACGCUCACUUGCCCGAACCACACGCAACACCAAUCCCGGUCCGCCAACCCCAGGUCAUCAUCUGACAAGAGUAUAUGCCAAUGUGUCUUCAUAAUUUGAUAUUCCCUCUCUGAAUACGCAUCAAUGUCCUGUGUUCUGACUGCGCUUUCAAGCUUCUUAACAUUCCUUAGGGAUACAUACUAGACCAGAUCAACUUUCUUUCUUCCUUGGAAAGGGCUAUAUAGGAAGCUACCGAAAUAAGAGCUCUAUUUCUGAC
Hyla sarda is the source of this 354-nucleotide long non-coding RNA. RefSeq lists it as uncharacterized. The transcript has 3 exons. The record is from RefSeq and is a predicted model, not a curated record. Lineage: Eukaryota; Metazoa; Chordata; Amphibia; Anura; Hylidae.